This 742-nucleotide ribosomal RNA is filed under the name Omnitrophica WOR_2 bacterium RIFOXYC2_FULL_43_9. RNAcentral's name for it is "partial 23S ribosomal RNA". It matches the Rfam family "Bacterial large subunit ribosomal RNA", at positions 2563 to 2925 of the family's 2925-position model. Lineage: Bacteria; Pseudomonadati; Candidatus Omnitrophota. The record is from RNAcentral.
UCCCAAGGGUCCGGCUGUUCGCCGGUUAAAAGGGUACGCGAGCUGGGUUUAGAACGUCGUGAGACAGUAAAAUGACCGUUGCUGUCUAAAAAUCUGGCUAAUUGCUGGAAAAUCUGAGUAUCCCGUAUUACUACUUGACGAUUUAGUCUCUAUAUGAGAUCAUAAUCUAAAGGAGUGAAAAUAUAUGGGUGCAGACAAUCAGCAGGAAAGGCCUUAAGCACGAAGAUGCACGAAUAAAAUAACGAAUACACACUAAUUUAUUUGUGUUAAUUCGAUAAAAAUUCGUGAUAAUUUGUGCUCAAGGAAUCUUCAGAGACUAUACGCCAGACUCUCCAAAAGGAGAAGAAGAUAUAGUCCGAACUGUAUAGCGAUAUGCAGAGACGGACAGAAAUGUGCCGUCCACCUAAGAUGUUUUACGGCUUAGGGAGUAACAGAAUUGUCGGUCUCUAUCUGAUGUGGGUGUAAGGAUACUUGAAGAGGAGCUCCCUAUAGUACGAGAGGACCUGGGGAGACGAACCUCUGGUGUUUCAGUUGUCCUGCCAAGGGCAGAAGCUGAGUAGCCAUGUUCGGAAGGGAUAAGCGCUGAAAGCAUCUAAGUGCCAAGCCCCCCUCGAAAAUAGGUAUCCCUGUCCGCAAGGACUGAAGGCUGGUCGUAGACUACGACCUUGAUAGGCGCAGGGUGUAAGAUCCGUAAGGAUUUCAGCUGAUGCGUACUAAUAGCCAAUCGGCUUGACCUUAUAUA